Molecule: ribosomal RNA, 495 nt
Filed under: uncultured bacterium
Lineage: Bacteria
Description: partial 16S ribosomal RNA
Rfam family: Bacterial small subunit ribosomal RNA
Source: RNAcentral
GACGAACGCUGGCGGCGUGCCUAAUACAUGCAAGUAGAACGCUGAAGGAGGAGCUUGCUUCUCUGGAUGAGUUGCGAACGGGUGAGUAACGCGUAGGUAACCCGCCUGGUAGCGGGGGAUAACUAUUGGAAACGAUAGCUAAUACCGCAUAAUAGCAGUUGUUGCAUGACAACUGUUUGAAAGGUGCAAUUGCACCACUACCAGAUGGACCUGCGUUGUAUUAGCUAGUUGGUGGGGUAACGGCUCACCAAGGCGACGAUACAUAGCCGACCUGAGAGGGUGAUCGGCCACACUGGGACUGAGACACGGCCCAGGCUCCUACGGGAGGCAGCAGUAGGGAAUCUUCGGCAAUGGACGGAAGUCUGACCGAGCAACGCCGCGUGAGUGAAGAAGGUUUUCGGAUCGUAAAGCUCUGUUGUAAGAGAAGAACGAGUGUGAGAGUGGAAAGUUCACACUGUGACGGUAUCUUACCAGAAAGGGACGGCUAACUACGUG